RNAcentral lists this long non-coding RNA (1705 nucleotides) under Olea europaea subsp. europaea. Lineage: Eukaryota; Viridiplantae; Streptophyta; Magnoliopsida; Lamiales; Oleaceae. The record is from RNAcentral.
CAAACACAUACUAGAACCUGUUGAGCGAGAGAGAACACAGAGAAGAGGGAAAAACCAAGGAAAAAGGGAAGAAAAGAAAAAGAAAGGAAGGAAAAAGGAAGAAGAAAUCUUGUGCCAACUACUUCAAUCUUGUUUAUUUAAUUCUUCAAGAGGUAAGGUUAAUAAUUUAUGGUUUAGUUUUUGUAAAUUAUUGUUUAGGGUUUUAAAUUUAUAGCUUAUACUUGAAAAAUAUGAUAAGGAAGCUAACUAUUUUAGUAUUUUGAGUUAGUUAUUCUAGUGGAUUGGAAGAAAUGAUAUUUAGAUAUUAGGGUUUUGUUAUAUGUGGGUUAAUCCGAAAAUUUGGGGAAAAAUUAGCAUUAUUGUUAUUUUUCCUUGUGAUUGUUGUAUGGUAUUAAGUUAGUUUGGUUGAAAAUAACUUAUCUUGUGAUUAGUUCUCACUUUGGAUGAAUAUGGAGAAUAUAAGAAAGAAGCUUUUGAUAAGAUUUAUGUAUUUAGUUAAAAUAAAAUUUAAAUAAGGAAUGAGGAUGAUUAUUAUCAUGAAAAGCUUGUUGAAUCUUGAUGGGGCAGCCAGGAAAGGUUAGUAUUAACGAGUUAGGGAUGUAGAGUGAUUCGAAAUUAAGUGAAUGUAUGUUUAAGUAACCAAAUGAAAAAUAAAUAUUAAGUCUUAUCUUAUUGCUUAUUGAGGGAUAUAUAUUUUGUUUUGAUGAUAAGAAGGGGUUAUUAUUGAGAAAUUUCUUGUAAUUGUGUAUGGAUGGAAUUGAAGUGGCUUAUAUUUAUGAUCGUUUUAGGGGGGGGGGGGAUUUGAACGUGGGAACAACAUACCAGCCCCGUUAGACCAGCCUACAUCUGUGAGUGGAGAAUCUGUGUUUUCAAAAAGAAGAUUUUUCGUUUAUUUUAUAGAAGCAUGUUAAUUACAUGAAAUGCUUUAUUUUCGAGAAUUAGUAAAUGAGCAUGAUUGUUUUGAAAUUAUCAUAAAAUAAUUGAUUUGAUUAUCUUACUCUAGUGCACUGAGGGGCUACGACCAUGUACUAGAGUCAUGUACUUAACUCUUAUACACUGAAGGGCUACGGCCGUGGGUAAAGGUAUCCAAUAUACACCGAGGGGCUACAGCCUUGUGUAAGACUAACUCUUAUCCACUGAGGGGCUAUGGCUGUGGCUAAAGUUAUUCAUUAUACAUUGAGGGGCUAUAACCGUUAUCCAUUUUACAUGGGAUAUACUUUGUUGUGAAUUUUAACUAUAUAGUGGAUUAUUAGUCUUCAACUUACAUUUUCCCGUUUACAAUUCAGCUUAUGGAUUUCAAAUUAUGGUUUUAGAUUAUUUAAUUAUCUAAUGUACUUACUCAUCUUGUUGUGUGUGUGUGUGUGUGUGUGUGUGUAAAGGACAGUACAACUAUCUUUUAUGCACUUUACUCACUAGGAUUAUUAUCUCAUAUUUUUCUUAACUUUUCCUAAUAGGAGGCUGUUGACUGAGCUGUGGUGAAGAUUAUUUUGAUAGUCUUGUAGCCACUAUUACCACCAUUUAUAGGUUCUUUUGUUUGAAAUUGUGUAAUCAUCAAGUGACAUAUUUGCAUCAUAUUGGAGGAUUUUUUUUGUAUUUAUAUGUACCAAUGAUCAUGAUGGAAUAUUGUAAUUUAAACUGCAUUCUAUUAUCCUUUUGAGAGGCAGUUAUGAUGCGAAUGAUAUGGAUGUUUUUGGCUAGAUGAGUG